Molecule: non-coding RNA, 91 nt
Organism: Caldivirga sp. CIS_19
Lineage: Archaea; Thermoproteati; Thermoproteota; Thermoprotei; Thermoproteales; Thermoproteaceae
Source: Rfam
GGGCCGGUAGUCUAGCCUGGAAGGACGCCCGCCUUGCGAUGCCUAGGCACUGGAUCGCGGGAGAUCCCGGGUUCAAAUCCCGGCCGGUCCA